Molecule: ribosomal RNA, 546 nt
Filed under: uncultured archaeon
Lineage: Archaea
Description: bacterial SSU rRNA
Rfam family: Archaeal small subunit ribosomal RNA
Source: RNAcentral
CGGGGUGCAGCAGGCGCGAAACCUCUGCAAUAGGCGAAAGCCUGACAGGGUUACUCUGAGUGAUUCCCGCUAAGGGGAUCUUUUGGCACCUCUAAAAAUGGUGCAGAAUAAGGGGUGGGCAAGCCUGGUGUCAGCCGCCGCGGUAAUACCAGCACACCGAGUGGUCGGGACGAUUAUUGGGCCUAAAGCAUCCGUAGCCGGCCACGCAAGUCCUCCGUUAAAUCCACCCGCUCAACGGUUGGGCUGCGGAGGAUACUACGUGGCUAGGAGGCGGGAGAGGCAAGCGGUACUCAAUGGGUAGGGGUAAAAUCCUUUGAUCCAUUGAAGACCACCAGUGGCGAAGGCGGCUUGCCAGAACGCGCUCGACGGUGAGGGAUGAAAGCUGGGGGAGCAAACCGGAUUAGAUACCCGGGUAGUCCCAGCUGUAAACGAUGCAGACUCGGUGAUGGGAUGGCCUCGAGCCAUCCCAGUGCCGCAGGGAAGCCGUUAAGUCUGCCGCCUGGGGAGUACGGUCGCAAGACUGAAACUUAAAGGAAUUGGCGGGGG